CUCCUACGGGAGGCAGCAGUGGGGAAUAUUGCACAAUGGGCGAAAGCCUGAUGCAGCCAUGCCGCGUGUAUGAAGAAGGCCUUCGGGUUGUAAAGUACUUUCAGUUGUGAGGAAGGGGGUAACGUUAAUAGCGUUAUCUCUUGACGUUAGCAACAGAAGAAGCACCGGCUAACUCCGUGCCAGCAGCCGCGGUAAUACGGAGGGUGCGAGCGUUAAUCGGAAUUACUGGGCGUAAAGCGCAUGCAGGUGGUUCAUUAAGUCAGAUGUGAAAGCCCGGGGCUCAACCUCGGAACUGCAUUUGAAACUGGUGAACUAGAGUGCUGUAGAGGGGGGUAGAAUUUCAGGUGUAGCGGUGAAAUGCGUAGAGAUCUGAAGGAAUACCAGUGGCGAAGGCGGCCCCCUGGACAGACACUGACACUCAGAUGCGAAAGCGUGGGGAGCAAACAGGAUUAGAUACCCUGGUAGUCCACGCCGUAAACGAUGUCUACUUGGAGGUUGUGGCCUUGAGCCGUGGCUUUCGGAGCUAACGCGUUAAGUAGACCGCCUGGGGAGUACGGUCGCAAGAUUAAAACUCAAAUGAAUUGACGG
RNAcentral lists this ribosomal RNA (588 nucleotides) under Vibrio sp. NB73. Its description in RNAcentral is "bacterial SSU rRNA". It matches the Rfam family "Bacterial small subunit ribosomal RNA", at positions 336 to 916 of the family's 1533-position model. Lineage: Bacteria; Pseudomonadati; Pseudomonadota; Gammaproteobacteria; Vibrionales; Vibrionaceae. The record is from RNAcentral.